RNAcentral lists this transfer RNA (77 nucleotides) under Alphaproteobacteria bacterium. RNAcentral describes it as "tRNA-Arg". It matches the Rfam family "tRNA". From Rfam's summary of the family: Transfer RNA (tRNA) molecules are approximately 80 nucleotides in length. Their secondary structure includes four short double-helical elements and three loops (D, anti-codon, and T loops). Further hydrogen bonds mediate the characteristic L-shaped molecular structure. tRNAs have two regions of fundamental functional importance: the anti-codon, which is responsible for specific mRNA codon recognition, and the 3' end, to which the tRNAs corresponding amino acid is attached (by aminoacyl-tRNA synthetases). tRNAs cope with the degeneracy of the genetic code in two manners: having more than one tRNA (with a specific anti-codon) for a particular amino acid; and 'wobble' base-pairing, i.e. permitting non-standard base-pairing at the 3rd anti-codon position. The record is from RNAcentral. RNAcentral also lists the same sequence under 1 other name. Lineage: Bacteria; Pseudomonadati; Pseudomonadota; Alphaproteobacteria.
GCGCUUGUAGCUCAGUAGGAUAGAGCACCAGAUUCCUAAUCUGGGGGUCACAGGUUCGAUUCCUGUCAAGCGCGCCA